This is a non-coding RNA of Pelobates cultripes (western spadefoot toad), 75 nucleotides long. The record is from the annotation of a GenBank genome assembly. Lineage: Eukaryota; Metazoa; Chordata; Amphibia; Anura; Pelobatidae.
GAGGAGGGAGGGGUAGGAGUGAAUGGAGGGGUAGGAGUCCAUUCACUCCUACCCCUCCCUCCUCAAUUGUAUAAU